Molecule: long non-coding RNA, 601 nt
Filed under: Ananas comosus (pineapple)
Lineage: Eukaryota; Viridiplantae; Streptophyta; Magnoliopsida; Poales; Bromeliaceae
Description: long non-coding RNA (ACOM_LNC028673)
Source: RNAcentral
AGCUCGACAACUUCUCCGGUAAUUAGUAUACAGCAUAUAUAUAUAUAUAUAUGUAUGUAGUUACAGCUGCACACUAACCCUUGUAAUUAAUAUUCUAAAAAUGUAUAUAUCCAUCACAGGCUCCGGAUUCGCUUCGAAGAACAAGUACCUGUACGGCAAAGCCACGGCCGACAUCAAGCUCGUCCCCGGCGAUUCCGCGGGGACCGUCACCGCAUUCUACGUACGGUGGAUACGAAUUAAUUGUUGAAGACGAAAAUUAAGAAAAAGAAGAAUCUUUUUUUAUCAUUAUUGAUUAUUGAAAUGAGGUGAUAUAGAAUUGGUUAAUUAGCUACAGCUAAUAAUUGGAUGAAUGUAUGUAUGUAUAGAUGUCGUCGGAGGGGGCGAGCCACAAUGAGUUCGACUUCGAGUUUCUGGGGAACAGGUCGGGGGAGCCGUACCUGGUGCAGACGAACCUGUACAUAAACGGGGUGGGGAACAGGGAGCAGCGCAUGGACCUGUGGUUCGACCCCGCCGCCGACUUCCACUCCUACAGCAUACUGUGGAACCCGCGCCAGGUGGUGUUCCUCGUCGACGGCACCCCCGUCCGUGUCUACCAGAACAA